Molecule: ribosomal RNA, 301 nt
Filed under: uncultured bacterium
Lineage: Bacteria
Description: partial 16S ribosomal RNA
Rfam family: Bacterial small subunit ribosomal RNA
Source: RNAcentral
CAGUCGCCGCGGUAAUACGUAGGGUGCGAGCGUUAAUCGGAAUUACUGGGCGUAAAGCGUGCGCAGGCGGUUUUGUAAGACAGGCGUGAAAUCCCCGGGCUCAACCUGGGAAUGGCGCUUGUGACUGCAAAGCUAGAGUGCGGCAGAGGGGGAUGGAAUUCCGCGUGUAGCAGUGAAAUGCGUAGAUAUGCGGAGGAACACCGAUGGAGAAGGCAAUCCCCUGGGCCUGCACUGACGCUCAUGCACGAAAGCGUGGGGAGCAAACAGGAUUAGAUACCCGGGUAGUCCCUGUCUCUUAUAC